RNAcentral lists this ribosomal RNA (244 nucleotides) under uncultured Staphylococcus sp. Its description in RNAcentral is "partial 16S ribosomal RNA". It matches the Rfam family "Bacterial small subunit ribosomal RNA", at positions 96 to 334 of the family's 1533-position model. The record is from RNAcentral. Lineage: Bacteria; Bacillati; Bacillota; Bacilli; Caryophanales; Staphylococcaceae.
CGGCGGACGGGUGAGUAACACGUGGAUAACCUACCUAUAAGACUGGGAUAACUUCGGGAAACCGGAGCUAAUACCGGAUAAUAUAUUGAACCGCAUGGUUCAAUAGUGAAAGACGGUUUUGCUGUCACUUAUAGAUGGAUCCGCGCCGCAUUAGCUUGUUGGUAAGGUAACGGCUUACCAAGGCAACGAUGCGUAGCCGACCUGAGAGGGUGAUCGGCCACACUGGAACUGAGACACGGUCCAG